Phalacrocorax carbo (great cormorant) is the source of this 944-nucleotide non-coding RNA. The record is from RefSeq and is a predicted model, not a curated record. Lineage: Eukaryota; Metazoa; Chordata; Aves; Suliformes; Phalacrocoracidae.
AGAGGAAACGGCCUCAGGUUGCAUCAGAGGAGGUUUAGAUUGGAUGUUAGGAAAAAUUUCUUUGAGAGUGGUCAGGCAUUGGAACAGGCUGCCCAGAGAGGUGGUGGAGUCGCCAUCCCUGGAGGUGUUUAAAAGACAUGUAGAUGUGGCACUUCAGGGCAUGGUUCAGGAGACAUGAUGGUGUUGGUCUGACGGUUGGAUCUGAUGAUCCUAGAGGUCUUUUCCAACCUUAAUGAUUCUAUGAUUAAAGGCAGUAGUCUCACUGUGCUCCCCGUCAAGGGCCCAAUGUAAACAAACUCAUCGUUGUAAAGCAGUUUUGCUUUACAAGUAGAGAUGCUUAAAAAUAUACACGUGUCAAUGAAGGAACUAACAAAAAUCCGAAGUACGCUAUUCAGAAAGAGUAGUCACACGCUUCUUUUCUGUAGUAAUUCAGAAUAACAUCAACUUGACUGUUUAAACAAGAUCACAGGAAAAAAAGCCUAAAGAAGCUUGUGGUAGUGUCCUUUGUGCUCUUGCAACUCGUCACAAUUAUAAGGCAAAACAUAAUUCAAAUGAAAAGAGCAGAAAUUAUUUACGUGUGUUUAAAGAGGUUCCCACAUCAUCAAGAGAAAUAGGCGAUGACAGGAGCAAGGGAAGAGCAUUUGAAAUACAGCCAUUUGCUUGAGCGGUCAUCACAUGCCUCCGAUCAUAAGGGAGAUGCAAUCGGACUGGAAUUGCCACUUGCAGAGUCAUCUUGUUUUGGAUCAGAUUUACAACACAGCCCAAGGCACUCAGUGAACUGGGCCAUUACACCCUGACAAUUCCCUGAAGGACUGUAAUUCAGCAUAUUUGCUCCUUUACCAAAGCCUGUUACCAGAACCAGACAAAGCUUUAUAAAGAAGAUCCGUACAUUUACACCUCAGAGCUGUCAUCGGAUCCUGCUGAACACUUGUUUCGUUAACAAG